GCCUGGGUGGCUCAGUCAGUUGAGCGUCUGACUUCAGUUCAGGUCAUGAUCUCGCAGUUCGUGAGUUGGAGCCCCAUGUCAGGCU
Felis catus (domestic cat) is the source of this 85-nucleotide non-coding RNA. The record is from Rfam. NCBI's taxonomy places the organism in Eukaryota, Metazoa, Chordata, Mammalia, Carnivora, Felidae.